CCAGGCUGGGGCAACUUGGCUGUCACUUUAUGUGGGUUGUAAGAGGAUGUUUGAUAAGCUGUCAUCUGAGAGCUCGCUGAGUCAUUUCGUUAAGAGUCACCGCCCUAACCGAGCUCGUAGUCACUUGUGGGAUCCAUCAGUAAUGAGGGUUUCACUUGUGUUGAAGAAUCUCGCAAUGGCUUAGGCUGGAAACAGAGCAAGCAAUAGGGAUCGCUAUGAGCGGCGGAAGGAUACCGGACUCGUGAAGUGAUGUGGCUUAUCGUGGCACUUAUUAAGCAGA
Paramecium tetraurelia is the source of this 280-nucleotide non-coding RNA. The record is from Rfam. NCBI's taxonomy places the organism in Eukaryota, Ciliophora, Oligohymenophorea, Peniculida, Parameciidae.